CAGCCGCCACGGUAAUACCAGCACCUCGAGUGGUCAGGAGGUUUAUUGGGCCUAAAGCAUCCGUAGCCGGUUGCAUAAGUUUUCGGUUAAAUCUAUGCGCUUAACGUAUAGGCCGCCGAAAAUACUGUGCAGCUAGGGAGUGGGAGAGGUACACGGUACUCGAUAGGAAGGGGUAAAAUCCUUUGAUCUAUUGAUGACCACCUGUGGCGAAGGCGGUGUACCAGAACACGUUCGACGGUGAGGGAUGAAAGCUGGGGGAGCAAACCGGAUUAGAUACCCGCGUAGUCCCUGUCUCUUAUAC
RNAcentral lists this ribosomal RNA (301 nucleotides) under uncultured bacterium. Its description in RNAcentral is "partial 16S ribosomal RNA". It matches the Rfam family "Archaeal small subunit ribosomal RNA", at positions 459 to 760 of the family's 1478-position model. The record is from RNAcentral.